GACGAACGCUGGCGGCGUGCCUAAUACAUGCAAGUUGAGCGCUGAAGGUUGGUACUUGUACCAACUGGAUGAGCAGCGAACGGGUGAGUAACGCGUGGGGAAUCUGCCUUUGAGCGGGGGACAACAUUUGGAAACGAAUGCUAAUACCGCAUAAAAACUUUAAACACAAGUUUUAAGUUUGAAAGAUGCAAUUGCAUCACUCAAAGAUGAUCCCGCGUUGUAUUAGCUAGUUGGUGAGGUAAAGGCUCACCAAGGCGAUGAUACAUAGCCGACCCGAGAGGGUGAUCGGCCACAUUGGGACUGAGACACGGCCCAAACUCCUACGGGAGGCAGCAGUAGGGAAUCUUCGGCAAUGGACGAAAGUCUGACCGAGCAACGCCGCGUGAGUGAAGAAGAUUUUCGGAUCGUAAAACUCUGUUGGUAGAGAAGAACGUUGGUGAGAGUGGAAAGCUCAUCAAGUGACGGUAACUACCCAGAAAGGGACGGCUAACUACGUG
This 497-nucleotide ribosomal RNA is filed under the name uncultured bacterium. RNAcentral's name for it is "partial 16S ribosomal RNA". It matches the Rfam family "Bacterial small subunit ribosomal RNA", at positions 28 to 507 of the family's 1533-position model. The record is from RNAcentral.